Molecule: long non-coding RNA, 1396 nt
Organism: Oenanthe melanoleuca
Lineage: Eukaryota; Metazoa; Chordata; Aves; Passeriformes; Muscicapidae
Exons: 3
Source: RefSeq, a predicted model, not a curated record
AGGCAAACUGUGGAGCAGAAGGAUUACACAGAACAGACUUUCAGACAAAAUCUUAGUGAGAUCUUUUUGUUUUGGGCAUGAGUAUCUUUUCCUACUAUCUGAAGUUUUGUCCAGCAGCUUCAUCUGUGCUAGUGUCAUCCUUUCCUGGAAUUCCCUGGAGUCUUUCCAUCUUGAAUUAGGUUUUUAAUUGCUUGUGCCUAGAAUUUCUACUUCACACACGGCAAUUCAUGUAUCCAUAAAGAUGUGCUGCAUCCACUUCAUGCUAUUGCAAAAGGUAUAGGAUUCUUGGGUCUCUAUUUUCCUGUUGAUUUAUCUAAUUUUGAUAUCUGGUUGAGCCUUUCUUUUUGUGCAUUAAGUUUUUCUUAAAAACCUCUUGCAGGGACUUUUUUCUACACCUUAUAUUUGAACUUCCAAAUAUAGCACAUUAUGUUCACUGACUCUUUUACCCACAACAGUAUUCCUGCUUGCAAAGAAAUGUGCUGACACAGGUGAAAAUUGCCUCAUAUACAGGAAGAAUGAGAUGCUGCAUUGCUCUUCCCUUAUGCCUUUGUUUUGCACAUGUAUAAUUGCAUCUACCUUGAAAAACAGAUUUUUUUUUUUUCAACGAGUAUUUUAACUUUCACAAGAUAAAAACAAAGAAUGCUUAGAAAGAAAUUGAAGUUGUAACAUAUGUCUUCAAUUCUGUAAUUCAUUGUUGAUCAAAACUUCCUAUAGUACUAAUAGAAGUUUGUAAAUGAUGAUCUCAUUAUAGGUAAGGUUGAAAUAUUUAAUGUCAGCCAGUGCAUUUCUUUAAAAAGCACUGUACCUAGUAACUAUUGUAAUUAUGCCAGGAGACAUAAGAGAAGAGAUUAGUGCAACAAGUGACCUAGCUUUAAUAAUGUCAUAAGAAUCUGUAAUUACAAAAUUAUCCACUGUGUUAUAAUGUUAACUAACAUAAUAUUCAGGUCACUCAUCAUUUGUAGCACUUCAUGAAGUAAGCAAUUAUUUUUUCCAGUGUACAAAUAUCAAGUCCAUUAAUUUUAAUAAGUCACUCGCAAAACUGAGAGCUGUAUAUUUAAGUAUAGUAAAAAAUGUCUUCAGCUGUGACUGAAAACUUGUAUUAUAACAGACAGUGUUUGACUGCCACCUUUCUAAAUCUUGGUACUGGCCAAACCUAGGAAGAUUUAGAGGUUAAGUUUGAGUUAAGAACUCAGAACUGCAAAAAAAUGCCUACAACCUACUCCAAAAUAGAUAUUGACAAUAUGUCCCAGAUUUCUUUCUUUCCAGAUAGAUUAUGUGCAUCUAUGUCCAUCCAUCCAUCCAUCCAUCCAUCCAUCCCAAUCUACCUCACAGUGUUUUAAUAUUGUAUCUUCAAGACUUAGGUCAACCUGAAAAUUAAAAAGAACCCCGAAACACA